GAUGAACGCUGACAGAAUGCUUAACACAUGCAAGUCAACUUGAAUUUGGGUUUUUAACUUAGGUUUGGGUGGCGGACGGGUGAGUAACGCGUAAAGAACUUGCCUCACAGCUAGGGACAACAUUUGGAAACGAAUGCUAAUACCUAAUAUUAUGAUAAUAGGGCAUCCUAUAAUUAUGAAAGCUAUAAGCGCUGUGAGAGAGCUUUGCGUCCCAUUAGCUAGUUGGAGAGGUAACGGCUCACCAAGGCGAUGAUGGGUAGCCGGCCUGAGAGGGUGAUCGGCCACAAGGGGACUGAGACACGGCCCUUACUCCUACGGGAGGCAGCAGUGGGGAAUAUUGGACAAUGGACCAAGAGUCUGAUCCAGCAAUUCUGUGUGCACGAUGAAGUUUUUCGGAAUGUAAAGUGCUUUCAGUUGGGAAGAAAGAAAUGACGGUACCAACAGAAGAAGUGACGGCUAAAUACGUG
This 467-nucleotide ribosomal RNA is filed under the name uncultured bacterium. RNAcentral's name for it is "partial 16S ribosomal RNA". It matches the Rfam family "Bacterial small subunit ribosomal RNA", at positions 28 to 507 of the family's 1533-position model. The record is from RNAcentral.